UACAGAGGGUGCAAGCGUUGUUCGGAAUUAUUGGGCGUAAAGCGCGUGUAGGCGGUUUUGCAAGUCGGGUGUGAAAGCCCUCAGCUCAACUGAGGAAGUGCGCCCGAAACUGCAGAGCUUGAGUACCGGAGAGGAUGGCGGAAUUCCCCAAGUAGAGGUGAAAUUCGUAGAUAUGGGGAGGAACACCGGUGGCGAAGGCGGCCAUCUGGACGGAUACUGACGCUGAGACGCGAAAGCGUGGGUAGCAAACAGGAUUAGAAACCCCCGUAGUCC
Molecule: ribosomal RNA, 273 nt
Filed under: uncultured bacterium
Lineage: Bacteria
Description: partial 16S ribosomal RNA
Rfam family: Bacterial small subunit ribosomal RNA
Source: RNAcentral